Molecule: ribosomal RNA, 450 nt
Filed under: uncultured bacterium
Lineage: Bacteria
Description: partial 16S ribosomal RNA
Rfam family: Bacterial small subunit ribosomal RNA
Source: RNAcentral
GUGGGGAAUAUUGGACAAUGGGCGAAAGCCUGAUCCAGCCAUGCCGCGUGUGUGAAGAAGGUCUUCGGAUUGUAAAGCACUUUAAGUUGGGAGGAAGGGCAGUAAGUUAAUACCUUGCUGUUUUGACGUUACCAACAGAAUAAGCACCGGCUAACUUCGUGCCAGCAGCCGCGGUAAUACGAAGGGUGCAAGCGUUAAUCGGAAUUACUGGGCGUAAAGCGCGCGUAGGUGGUUUUGUAAGUUGGGGGUGAAAUCCCGGGGCUCAACCUCGGAACUGCCUUCAAAACUGCAUGACUAGAGUACGGUAGAGGGUAGUGGAAUUUCCUGUGUAGCGGUGAAAUGCGUAGAUAUAGGAAGGAACACCAGUGGCGAAGGCGACUACCUGGACUGAUACUGACACUGAGGUGCGAAAGCGUGGGGAGCAAACAGGAUUAGAUACCCCGGUAGUCC